GAAUGCUUCCUGGGGGCCUGCAGACCGCUUCCAUCUCUUGGCUGCCACUUUGCAGGUGCAACAGAAGGCCUAGCAAGACAGGGCGGGCUGGACCCGUGCACCCUUGUCAGCUGAUGCUUAUCAGCCUUCUCCAUGAACACUGCGUGGGAUAUCAGCUGAAAGGAAGAAGGGGUGGAAGAGGAGAGGAAACAGGAAGCCCAACAGCUCUGAGCCAGGCACAUGACAGAAUGCCUGCUGGUAAUUUGGGUGUCCCUUAGAAGACAUGUUGUGAGUAUUUCUAGUUGACCUUUCAUUUGCCUUAAGCAAGUAAUUUCUCCUUAAUCAGCACCCCCCUGUCAGUUUUCUCCCUUUAGGUGAAGACAAAGCUAUCAGUAGUGGGCACACAUGAAUGUCGAUUAAAGAACUGGGAGUCAGGCAGCCUGGCCUAAUCCACACAAGGCGAUGGAACCUGGGAAUCUCACUGAGUUUUCUAAACUGAACACUGGGAUUAUUUUUUAUCUUCUUUUCUGGAAUCUGGGAAUCUCACUGAGUUUUCUAAACUGAACACUGGGAUUAUUUUUUAUCUUCUUUUCUGCCGUAUUCCUCAUAGUUCAUUCAGUCCUGUGGGCUCUCUCCCAUGGAUCACUCUCACACAGUCCGUUUUUUUACAUCUUCCCUGUUUCGGCCUAGACUGAAGAUACAGUGAGGGUUCACCUAGAUGGCACACCUGCAGCAGUUUCCUUUGAGGCCUCGUGGUAUGCAUUCUGUCUCCCUCCCAGUCCACCUUAAAACAAUUGUGAAGGGGCAACUAUUCUGGUGUUGUGUGUUAAGCCACCGACUAUAAAACCGGCAUCCUACAAGGGCACUGGAUCAAGAAAGACCCAGAUGCUCCUUUUCCAAUCCAGCUCCCUGCUAAUGGCCUGGGAAAGCAGUGGAAGAUGUUCCAAGCGCUUGGGCCCCUGCCAUCCACAUGGGUGACCCAGAUGAAACUUCUUGCUCCUGGCUCAGCCCGGCCCAGCACAGGUCAUUGUGGCUCCAUCUGGGGAGUGAACCAGUUGGAUGGAGGAUCUCUCUCUUUCUCUGUCUCUGAAACUUCGCCUUUCAAAUAAAUAAAUACAUCUUCAAAAAAUGUAAAACA
Molecule: long non-coding RNA, 1117 nt
Filed under: Oryctolagus cuniculus (rabbit)
Lineage: Eukaryota; Metazoa; Chordata; Mammalia; Lagomorpha; Leporidae
Description: lncRNA (ENSOCUG00000030416.1)
Source: RNAcentral